AGGGCAAACCGGGGAGCUACGGCUCUCCGGGGUUGAGGACUGCAUUUAGUCUCAAUGGUUUAUCCGAACUACCUGGAAAGGUAGGCAACACAGUGUAAAAGCCACGUAGGUUAAAGGCCAGAGAGAUGAGCAGUAUCCAGAGUACCACGAGGCACGAGGAAUCUUGUGGGAAGCCGGGGGGACCACCCUCCAACCCUAAACACUGAAUGGCGACCGAUAGCGCAUAGUACCGUGAGGGAAAGGUGAAAAGAACCCCGGGAGGGGAGUGAAAGAGAACCUGAAACCGUAUGUCUACAAGCAGUCGGAGCGAAAGCGACGGCGUGCCUAUUGAAGAAUGAACCAACGAGUUACGUGCACUAGCGAGGUUAAGUGGAAGACACGGAGCCGAAGCGAAAGCGAGUCUUAAGAGGGCGGAUAGUUAGUGUACGUAGACCCGAAACCGCAGUGAUCUACCCAUGUCCAGGUUGAAGCGCAGGUAAAAUUGCGUGGAGGACCGAACCUGUGAGCGUUGAAAAGCUUUAGGAUGAGAUGUGGGUAGAGGUGAAAUUCCAAUCGAACGCGGAGAUAGCUGGUUCUCCCCGAAAUAGCUUUAGGGCUAGCCUCAAGUAGUAAGUAUAGGCGGUAGAGCACUGAUCGGGCUAGGGGCCAUAAAGGUUACCGAACCCUGUCAAACUCCGAAUGGUUAUACUGUAGAGCUUGGGAGUCAGACUACGAGUGAUAAGAUCCGUGGUCAAAAGGGAAACAGCCCAGACCACCAGCUAAGGUCCCCAAUGUCGUACUAAGUGGAAAAGGAUGUGGGGUCUCUAAAACAACCAGGAUGUUGGCUUAGAAGCAGCCACCAUUUAAAGAGUGCGUAAUAGCUCACUGGUCGAGAGACCCUGCGCCGAAGAUUACCGGGGCUAAAGUACGAAACCGAAGCUGUGGCUACGACGUAAGUCGUGGGGUAGGGGAGCGUUCUGUGAGGGCUGAAGUUGUUCUGUAAGGAACGGUGGACUUCACAGAAGUGAGAAUGUUGGUAUGAGUAGCGAAAAGAAUGGUGAGAAUCCAUUCCACCGAAAGCAUAAGGAUUCCUGGGCAACGAUCGUCGUCCCAGGGUAAGUCGGGACCUAAUCCGAGGCAUGGAGCGUAGGAGAUGGACAACUGGCAGAUAUUCCAGUACCGGUAAUGAUUGUUUGAGCGAUGGAGUGACACAGGAGGGCAGGCAGGCAGGAGACUGGUUGUUCCUGUACAAGCGUGUAGGGUGGAACGUAGGCAAAUCCGCGUUCUGUGAGCCUGAGGCGUGAUGUGGAGGUUCCGGAAACGGAACUGAAGCUGCUGACCCCACACUGUCGAGAAAAGCUUCUAGUUAGAGAAUUACCGCCCGUACCGUAAACCGACACAGGUAUGCGGGGAGAGAAUCCUAAGGUGCGCGGGAGAACCCUCGUUAAGGAACUCGGCAAAAUGUACCCGUAACUUCGGGAUAAGGGUAGCCGCUGUUGUGAAGUCUGCACAGAUGGAGCAUGAGGCGGUCGCAGAGAAGAGGCCCAAGCGACUGUUUACCACAAACACAGGUGCCUGCUAAAGAGAAAUCUGACGUAUAGGUGCUGACACCUGCCCAGUGCCGGAAGGUUAAGGAAGGAUGUCCGGAGCAAUCCAAAGCAUUCGACCGAAGCCCCGGUAAACGGCGGCCGUAACUAUAACGGUCCUAAGGUAGCGAAAUUCCUUGUCGGGUAAGUUCCGACCCGCACGAAAGGUGUAACGAUUUGGGCACUGUCUCAACGAGGGACCCGGUGAAAUUGAAGUACCUGUGAAGAUGCAGGUUACCCGCGACUGGACAGAAAGACCCCAUGGAGCUUUACUGUAACCUGACAUUGGGUUCUGAUACAUCACGUACAGGAUAGGUGGGAGGCAUGGAAGCGAGGACGCUAGUCUUCGUGGAGCCGCCGUUGGGAUACCACCCUUGAUGUAUCGGAAUUCUAACCGUAGGAGUAACGAAACUCGGGACAGUGUCAGGCGGGCAGUUUGACUGGGGCGGUCGCCUCCCAAAGAGUAACGGAGGCGCCCAAAGGUUCCCUCAGCGCGGCCGGAAAUCGCGCGAAGAGUGUAAAGGCAGAAGGGAGCUUGACUGAGAGCCAAACACGGCGAUCAGGUACGAAAGUAGGGCUUAGUGAUCCGGUGGCAUCCAAGUGGAAGGGCCAUCGCUCAACGGAUAAAAGCUACCCUGG
Molecule: ribosomal RNA, 2204 nt
Filed under: human gut metagenome
Description: bacterial LSU rRNA
Rfam family: Bacterial large subunit ribosomal RNA
Source: RNAcentral